GACUCGCAGCUGGAGCACUGAAUAGAUUAAGCAAGUUGUAAGGAUACAUGCCGAGAGUUGUGCAGGUUGGUUCAGGUCAUGCAGACCUGCGCUGCAGCGGCACCCGCGAGCCUGACGGAGCGCUUGCUGAAAGGCAGCACACAGACGCGACCGAACGCAUAGGCUGAAGCUUUAACCUACCUCGGAAAUGUUUGCUCGCUUCUAAAACGCCCUCCUGAUCCUGAACAGCCUCUCGGCUCUCCGCAGAAGCAGGGACCGCAGCUCGCAGGAGCGCAGCAUCUCUCCUGAGCGAGCCAACGGCGGGAGCAGCAGCAAGCACAAAGGUGAUGGGUUUCCUCGCAGGCACGCGCAUGUACGCACAGCGCACCGCCUCUCUGCACUACCUGUCUCGUCUUGUCUUACCCGUUUCUGGUGCCCCAGAAGAGCUGACCGGGGAGCAAAAACCAAAUGCAUAGGGUAACAGACACAGAUAUGGGCAAAGCUUAGCUUCAUGCUGCUUGGGCUUGACACUGACCCAGAAGAACCAAGAAAGCAGAAGACAGGACUGAAACUGCUCAUUCUUUGGUGCCAGAUCACAGCAGGAUACAAGAUACCUGAGGACUAUCUUUUGUUUGCAGACUGCUGCAAGACAGAGGCACAAUCAUCUAUUGGACUUUUUGCAACAGUGCUCCAAACUGAGUCCUGGGAAGGUGUGCUGCUCAUUCUUGUGAGCACUGUGACCCUCAGAAAUGACUCCUUAGCACUGCUAUUCCCCUUCAACCUCUGCAAGAAGGGAUUCAUAGACAACAGAAACACCAGGCUCGGUAAUCCUGCAAGCACUUUUGCCAUACUGUUGUGUUUCUCUUGCCUGUCUCACUCCAGAGCCUAGACGGUCAGUUGUAUCCCGGCAGAAGUCAAAUGGUGGACGGCACCAGCUAGGUAGCAGAACGUGUC
Molecule: long non-coding RNA, 933 nt
Filed under: Apteryx rowi (Okarito brown kiwi)
Lineage: Eukaryota; Metazoa; Chordata; Aves; Apterygiformes; Apterygidae
Description: lncRNA (ENSARWG00000008303.1)
Source: RNAcentral